GGUUCUUACUGCUAUCAAAAUUACUGAAAUGAUUACUUGAAGAGAGUAUGUACUAAAGUCUGCUUCUACAGUUGCUCUUAACUGCUUUUGUGGAUUGAAUUAGUGUCUUUCAACAUUUUUUGGAGACAAGAGUCUAGGAAAUACUUUUUUUUUCCUUUCAGCUAGCACAUGAGAAGAAACAGAAGUUGAUUGACAUUAAAAGGAAAAGACUCUCACUAAAAAAAGACCAAAGAAGAAAACUACAGCAAAUUCAGACUAUGAAGAAAAAACAAAAGAAGGAAAAAGGAAAUAAGAACCUGGAUGAAGCAAAGAUGCUUCAGAACUUAGAAAAAGAAAGAUUGAUGACUACAGUAAUUCAAAAUGUGUUUCAGAAUAUCAUAAUUGGAAGCGGAGUUAACUGGGCAGAAGAUCCGUCUUUAAAGGCAAUUGUUCUACAGCUUGAAAAAAAUGUCCAUCUUCCAUGAGUCAGGAGAAAUGGUAUUUAAUUUUAUUUGCAUUGUAAUAUAUUAAUUAAUAUUAAUUAAUUAAUAUAUUUUAAUUUUUAACACACAUCAAUAAUUUUUCAGUUUAACCUUUCAGAAAGUUGUUUUUCUCUCUAGAGACUCAGAAUGUGUCCACGCAACUCUGUGAAGUGAAAUUAAAUUUCUGACACACAACAGAUGUUUGAAUGGGUAAUGCAACUGAUGAAAUGAAACUACCUGAAGACCCGCUUCAUAGCUGUCCUGUCCGAAAACUUCAUCUCUCUCUGAAAGACAGCAAUAAUGCAAGAAAGAUGAAUAAUCUAUGUAUUUCAAGUAAAAGUGGACUUAAACCAAGGCUUUCCUGGGGAUGAGUGGGCUGCAGAGCUCGGGCAUGGUACUUGACUCUGCUCUGUCCCAGUGGAAAACCCAAGAUGGAAAUACUUUUUAGCAAGCUUCUACAACUGGGAUUUUUUUGCUAUUAAAGCACUUCGUAUAAUUUGAAACAGCAGAAUUUUUAUACUCUUAGUUCUUCUAACAGCCACUUGUGUCUGAAGUGGUGACUUCAUGCUAUCGACCGUGCAGCUAAGCAGUGUUUUAUCUACAUAUUUUCACCAGCAUUUGCUUUCUUUUUUUGUUUAUAUGAUGUUCAAAUGAAAUUGAAGCUUAGGGUGUAUAGCAUGUUUCGAGACAUGUACUGUCUCUUUUUUUAUCUUAGGCUAUAUUGUCAUUUUUAACUUGGUGAUUAACUAGGAAUUUUUUUAGGUGGGCUUUGAUCGGAUAAUAAGAAUAAAACGCUG
Molecule: long non-coding RNA, 1258 nt
Filed under: Lepidothrix coronata (blue-crowned manakin)
Lineage: Eukaryota; Metazoa; Chordata; Aves; Passeriformes; Pipridae
Description: lncRNA (ENSLCOG00000012040.1)
Source: RNAcentral